UGUAGAGGUUCAAGCACAACCUCAGAAUUAUAUCAUGUUGGUCAUACUCGUUGUCUACACUCACCUCAUCAUAUGUUUAUGGGUUCCUCCUGGAUGUAAGCACAUACUUUGUACUUCCCCAUUAUAGGGUGAAGCCGGUGCAUGAGUCACAAACGAUUGGAUCCCACCACGGUGGAAGGCCUACGAAGAGAUGUUCAAAGCAUCUCUCGCUUAUCAACUUAAUAUUCGUUUUGAGGAAGUAGUUUUAGGCUACAUCAAAACAUUUUAAUCACAUUAAAAGAACUUGGGCCUAUCACAACCAUUGGUCCAAGUUAAUAUGAAUUAGUAGUUUAUAAUACUCCCACUAUUUCAAAGAAACAAGCGAGACUAUAUAGAACUACUAACGAAUGCAUUACAUCCUCAUAUGGACUAUAUAGUCAUAUUAGGUUUUAGGAUGAUUAUGAACCGUUCGAUUUGAUCCAACACGAGCCUUGUGUUGGACCUUGGGUUUAAGGUAGAUAGUUGUUGAUUUUAGUUACGCGUUUAAUCUAAUUAAACCGUUAUUUCCUAUUGGGCGUUGGACCCAACUAUUCCAUUUGCAUACAUUUAAACAAAAAGGAAUACAUGAAAUAAUAAGAAGGGCUUAUGCCCUUUUACAACACAAAUCAAAUGAUGGACUUAUGUCCAUUUACAACAACUUGAAUUAAUCAAAUUACAUUCAAAUCUACUCUACUAAAACCCAAACAUUCAUAAUGUAAAGCGGCCAAUCACAUAGCUCAAUUAUCGUGGCCUUCGGUUCAUAAUCACCCUUUUCUUAAUCAAUCACAUUAACUAAGAAAACAACUUUAAGCAAUUGGUUUUUGGAUCCAUAGAAUUGAUUUAAAUGGAACUAAAUGAAAUGAAAAUCCAAUUCUCAUUAAAGAGACAAAACAAUUUUGUUCUCAUCCUUUUGGGCCAAUAGGAAACUAUGACCACAACAAUUGGGCCAUAAUGCAAAUACAAAAACUUUUGGGGUCACUUUGUAAAGACACAAUAGUCCACAACUUCAUGUAAUUACAACUAGAUCCCAAAAUUUUAACAAUGUAAAAACAUCAUUAAAGGAUCAAAACAAUUUGUCCUUUAGAGUUUUAGGGCCUUAACGUAAAAACGUAAACUUUUGGGCCAAAAUGCAAAUACACAAAAGUAUCUAAAACUUUAUGUAAUUGCACAAAAGACCCCAAAAGUACCCCCACUAGGGGUGGCCGGCCAUUUAAUGAAAAAAUGAAAAAAUCUAAAAAGUUUUUGCAAGUUGAUUUUGGUGGGUGAGGUAAAGUGGAUUUGGAUAGUUUUGUAAGAGAUUUUUGUCUAACAUUAAAACCAACAAUAAUUACUUCACCAAUAAACAUCACCCAUCAAUAAUAAAUCAAUAAUAUACCAAAACUUUAUGAUAAACAUAAAACUUUUGAAUCAAAACUUCAAAACUUUAUGUUCUUGGCAAGAACACCAAGAACAAUGAAGAACACCAUGAAAACUCAUAAUAGUUCCAUGGAUGUUUUCAUUCACCAAAACUCAAUUUUUCACCUCUCAAAAGAGGGCUAAUAUCCUAGGGUACUUAGGGGUUCCAAAAGUCACCUUAAAACCAUUUUAACAAGACAAACAUGAACCCAAAAAGUCACCCUAAGGAUUUGGCCGAAUUUCCCAAAACUCAUGGCACCAAAUUUUAGUUUCAAUAUUCAUGCUUAUAUGAAAUACAUCUACAACAUUUGAGAUGCUAAAUUUUCUAGCAAAAUUUAUAUAUUCAAAAGCAAGAACAAAGCUUGUAACAUUUACAACAUUUAAAUCACAAAAUAUGAACAUCACAAAACCCAAAAGGAUUCACCACACACUAGGCCUAGGCUCUGAUACCACUUGAAGGAAAAAAUUUGUCCUAGCUAAGAACAAGUAUGAACAUUUGAAUACACAUGCAAGCUAUUAACACUUUAAAGUAGGCAUGCAUCCAAAAACAAUUCAUAAAACCCAUGACUUUCAAAGCCUAGUAGUAUAUGGUGAACCAAAAUAAACUCUUUAACUACAUUAAAGAGAAGUAAAGAUUUAGUUAUUCUUUACCCUUGAAGCUCAUCCUUGAUUACACAAGGGAUUCACCCAAGUGGAGGGCCUUCAAGUCACCUCCAAGCUUCUUGAAUCCUCCUUGUGUUUUCCUCCCUUUAGUGCUCCUUUGAUGAUUUGAGGAAAAAGGAUUUUUUCUCCAAAACACCAAAAGCUUGAUGUCUCUAAGUCUCUUCACCAAGG
Molecule: long non-coding RNA, 2247 nt
Filed under: Malus domestica (apple)
Lineage: Eukaryota; Viridiplantae; Streptophyta; Magnoliopsida; Rosales; Rosaceae
Description: long non-coding RNA (MDOM_LNC005851)
Source: RNAcentral